CGAUAAGUGGAUGGACGCGAA
RNAcentral lists this non-coding RNA (21 nucleotides) under Arabidopsis thaliana (thale cress). Lineage: Eukaryota; Viridiplantae; Streptophyta; Magnoliopsida; Brassicales; Brassicaceae. The record is from RNAcentral.